UGGCAGCCGGAGAGUCAAGAUAUCUUGGCUUU
RNAcentral lists this non-coding RNA (32 nucleotides) under Rattus norvegicus (Norway rat). Lineage: Eukaryota; Metazoa; Chordata; Mammalia; Rodentia; Muridae. The record is from RNAcentral.